Molecule: unclassified non-coding RNA, 276 nt
Filed under: plant metagenome
Description: partial contains small subunit ribosomal RNA, internal transcribed spacer 1, and 5.8S ribosomal RNA
Source: RNAcentral
UUUCCGUAGGUGAACCUGCGGAAGGAUCAUUACAGGGUUUACCUAGGGGAAGGUACUAUGGAUACCCGGAAAACUGCCCCCUCGUGUCUGACCAUGUGUUGCAAUGAGGGGCCGCGAGCUCGCCUAACGCUUGAGCACCGGCUUUGGGUGGAUAGCGUGUGCCAGAAGAAACAACUCUGUUAUUUAUGACAACUGAUUUCUAUGUAAUAGUAAAGAUUAACAACAAAGGAUCUCUUAGUUCUAGAAUCGAUGAAGAACGCAGCAGAUGGCAAGAGC